ACGCGAUUCUCUUUCUGUUAUAUUGAAAUCUCCAAAUUAAGGUAUGCAUCGUCGGUGUGUGGGGUACCGGAGGAGUUGGAAAAACUACAUUGGUGAAGAAUCUGAACAACGAGCUCUUAAAGAAUCUCUUAAAGAAUGUGCCAAGUUCCAAACUGUCUUUUGGCGUUGUUGUGAUAUGGGUUACAGUGCCCAAACCGCCAAUAGACGUAAGAAAGAUUCAAGAACAAAUUGCCAGCAGAUUAAACCUGAAGGUAGAUAAAGAGGCAAGUGUAGAAAGCAUUUCGAGCAAAAUUGCGUUUUCUGGAUGUUUGUAAGCAAAUGAGGACAGAUGUCGAAAUGCAGGUUUACACAUUGGACGAGGAUGAAUCUUGGCUACUGUUUGCCAAAAAUGUGGGAGAUAUUGUCAAUCUGGAGCAAAUCCAUCCAUUGGUAAAGGAAAUUGCAAGAGAGUGUGAUGGUUUACCUUUAGCCAUCACUGUUGUUGGAUCAUCCAUGAGAGGGAAGACGAAGGUUGAGCUCUGGGAAGAUGCUUUGAAAUCACUUAGAAUGUCGGAACCUCAUAGCAAAGUUGUAGAAGAUAAGGUUUACAGUGUCAUCAAGUGGAGUUUUGAUUCUUUAGAAUCUCAGGAUAUUGAAUUAUCCUCAGAGCAAAGAAGGAAACAUGUGAACAAAAAGAGAGGUGAUAUUCGAAGUUGUUUCUUAUAUUGUUCCUUAUAUCCGGCGGCUAUUCCGACAGAUGAUCUCAUACAUUGCUGGUGGGCGGAGGGGAUCCUCGGUGAACAUGACACAUAUGAAGAAGCCUACAACAGGGGAAUCACAUUGAUUGAGAGUCUAAAAGAUGGAGAUUUGUGUGAAGAUGCACGACCUGGUGUGUGAUGUUGCCAUAUGGAUAGCUAGUACCUUUGGGAAUGAACAGACUUCUGUUUUUCAAGCUGGAAUUGGGUUGACUGAGAUAUCACAUAUUAAAAUAUCAGCUUCUGUCAAGAGAAUAUCUUUUGUAAGCAACGAAAUUGAAUGUCUAUCAGAUAUUAAAAUAUCAACUUCUGUCAAAUUACUUUUGCAAGAAAAUUAUCCCCUUGAGAAAAUAUCCCACAAAUUCUUUUUGGCAUUUCCAGCUCUAAGAGUUCUGAAUCUGAGUCGCACUAGUAUUAGAGAACUGCCUUCUUCCAUCAAUAAUUUAUGUCAACUAUUGCUAAUCUUACUACAAUGUUGCUUUGAGUUGAAAGAGUUGCCACCUGUUGCUAAUCUUCACAAUUUGGAAGUGCUCGAUUGUGAAUAUACAGAGUUACGUUGUCUGCCCCAAGGAAUGGAAAAUUUAACAAAUCUGAGGCUAUUAAAUAUGCCUGUUCCUGAUUUGAAGAGCAUCAGAAAGGGAUUUUUCCUCAAAUUUCCUAGCAUUGAAAUGUUAAAUAUGCCGCAUAGCUGUCUUGGAGCGACCUCUUUUGAUGAGAUAUCAUCUCUACACAAUCUGUCUUAUCUUUUUAUUACAGUGGAUAGCUCAUCAUGUUUCAAUAGAGAUUACAGCUGGAUGACUAGAUUGAAAGGAUUUCACAUUCAUAUUGGGGAAACUUUAACUUAUGUGCCAUACAACAAGUCAAUGAGGGUGAUAAAUGUCCACAAGUGUGCAAUUUUCAGUAACGGAGAACUCUCAGGCAUGUUGCAGUUUGCUUCAGAUUUGUACUUGAAAGAAUGCAUCGGUCUCAGUAAGUUGAUUGCAUACGACACUUUUAAUGGAUUAAAAUCACUAAACAUACAGAGCUGCUCUUGUUCUUUCGGAUAAUUUGCCCUUUGCCAAAUCUUAAAUAUCUCCACCUCAGUUACUUAUAUUAUUUAAGUAGUGUUUCUGAUUUCGGUCAAUAUUUGGGCUAAGAUUUUCUAAAUUACGCCGACUGAAUAUCUCUGAUUGUGUAAGUUUAACAUGUCUUUUCAACGAUGGUGGAGUUUGUUCUGUACCCAAGCACUUGGAAGAGAUUAUAAUUAACCAAUGCCAUCAGCUGGUAGAUUUGUUUGUGCAAUGCAGCUCAAGUGAUCAGGCAACACUUGUCAACUCAGAAAUUCCAAGAGUUCAGAAGUUAAAGUUGUACGACUUACCAGAACUAGUAAUGUUGGUGGAGCCACAGAGUAUGUGGGAACACUUGGAGGAACUCACGGUGAUCGAUUGUGACGGAUUAAGGAAGUUGCCUCGCUCUUUGCAAACCUCCAUAAACAUCAAAAUAAUAAAAGGAGGAUCAGAAUGGUGGAGCCAACAGGAAUGGGAUGAUGAAAACUUCAAGUCAAAUUUAGAGCGUUGUUACAAAGAAUGGUAUUACUGAUGACAGAAGGAUCAAAGUUGACGUUGCUUCCGCUGCAUCUCAGGGGAUUAAAAAGGCAAAGGAACUUCCUGCACCAGGACAUAAAGUUUCGAGCUAAAAGUAAUCGGUGCAGUUUGCUGUGAUAUAUUUUCCUAUCAGACGUCUCAAGUUUUUUCUGCUGAUAAUCGUUCCUUGUUUGUACUAUCCUUGCUUCGUGGUUCCGAUAUUUUGGAUUGCUUUGAUUGUACACCGAGUAAUUUCUUGUUUCAUUUGUGUUGUAUGAUAAUCUUGUUUAUUUGUAAUAAACUGGUAUUCCUUCUGUGUUUAAACAUUCUAAAGCAUUCUUAAAUUGUACAUUAAAAAUUUAGCACAUUUUCUAUGUCUAUGUUCUCAAGAUAGCAUAGACAAACCAUAAGAAAGUUUUCAUAUGACAAGUUGGUAUAAAUAAGUACACCAUAUUUUCCUAUUCAAUACAAAGAUGAAAACCUAAAAAUAGAGGUGGUCUUGCAUGUAGUUG
This is an RNA transcript of Capsicum annuum, 2808 nucleotides long. It is a transcript of the gene named disease resistance protein At4g27190-like, with no coding region annotated. NCBI's taxonomy places the organism in Eukaryota, Viridiplantae, Streptophyta, Magnoliopsida, Solanales, Solanaceae. The transcript has 3 exons. The record is from RefSeq and is a predicted model, not a curated record.